AUACGGAGGGUGCAAGCGUUACUCGGAAUCACUGGGCGUAAAGCGCGCGCAGGCGGCUUGAUAAGUUGGAUGUGAAAGCCUACGGCUCAACCGUAGAACUGCAUCCAAAACUAUUUGGCUAGAGUGUGGGAGAGGAAGAUGGAAUUAGUUGUGUAGGGGUAAAAUCCGUAGAGAUAACUAGGAAUACCAAAAGCGAAGGCAAUCUUCUGGAACAUUACUGACGCUGAGGCGCGAAAGCGUGGGGAGCAAACAGGAUUAGAUACCCCAGUAGUCC
Molecule: ribosomal RNA, 274 nt
Filed under: uncultured bacterium
Lineage: Bacteria
Description: partial 16S ribosomal RNA
Rfam family: Bacterial small subunit ribosomal RNA
Source: RNAcentral